UAGGAGGUUUCCACACCAGGGCCGUAGU
Molecule: non-coding RNA, 28 nt
Filed under: Rattus norvegicus (Norway rat)
Lineage: Eukaryota; Metazoa; Chordata; Mammalia; Rodentia; Muridae
Source: RNAcentral